RNAcentral lists this unclassified non-coding RNA (402 nucleotides) under soil metagenome. Its description in RNAcentral is "partial contains 5.8S ribosomal RNA, internal transcribed spacer 2, and large subunit ribosomal RNA". The stretch from base 1 to 121 matches the Rfam family "5.8S ribosomal RNA", at positions 35 to 154 of the family's 154-position model. The record is from RNAcentral.
GAUGAAGAACGUAGCGAAAUGCGAUAAGUAAUGUGAAUUGCAGAAUUCAGUGAAUCAUCGAAUCUUUGAACGCACCUUGCGCCCUUUGGCUAUUCCGAAGGGCAUGCCUGUUUGAGUAUCGUGAACACCUCAACUCUCAUGGUUUGCCAUGAUGAGCUUGGACUUUGGGGGUUUUGCUGGCCUUUGGUCGACUCCUCUCAAACGGAUCAGCUUUCCAGUGUUUGGUGGCGUCACGGGUGUGAUAACUAUCUACGCCUGUGGUUUUCUGCCAGAUAACCUUCAGCGAUGGAGGUUCGCUGGGGCUCAUAAAUGUCUCUCUUCAGUGGAGACAGCUUUUUGGACGUUUGAUCUCAAAUCAGGUAGGACUACCCGCUGAACUUAAGCAUAUCAAUAAGCGGAGGA